UGGAGCUGCAGAAAAGGGUCAGGGUUGGAUGCAAUUGAGACAGCUGACACAGAGACAGAAAACAGAGCCCCAUGCUCACCUAUUCACUCCCAAGACUGGCAGGAGACCUCAUGCCUGGACUGUGCAGGUGUGAAUAGCACCUGGAGAAACCAAGCUGUGAGGCAGUAAACAGUGACCUCUCCAGAACUGCUGAGUCCCCCAGGAGGAUGAGGAGAGACUCCAGAGCCAGGCAGACAGAGAAGUAGACAAAAGCUAGAGCCUAUGAGCUGGGCAGAAGCUGACCAAUAAGUGACUUGGCCAAUAAAUGAGCUGAAAAAAGAUCAUAAGAUGACUGGAAGACUGAAUGAUUACCCAACAGCACAAGGCAGUAAAUCUGCUUUGGCAAGUUAAGCACCUGUCACUCUCCGGAGCACUUGGGUUAGAGAGAGAAGUACUUCUUCAUCAGACAGAGUCUCCAUAAACUCAGACUCCAGGCCAGCAAUGAAGCCGCAGAGCACGUGCACAGACCUGCUGGAAAGAGACCAUAGAAGAGCCACAGCUAGCCCAGCUCUGCUGUCCCUCUGCAAGGACCCACACUCUGUGGGCCCCACCACACCCACACAGUGUCCCAGAGCUUUCCAGGACAGCGCUCUAAGGGUCCGAGCAACUGCAUAACACCAAGAUGAUGUUUGCUGCUCCAGCCAUCAUUUGCAAGAUGUGCACUGGCAGUGACGUGUCGCGAGGUGCGGGGCGCUGUGAGCAUGGCCAUACACAUGUGCAGUGAACAGUGCUGACUAUGCUGGCUUCACUCGGAGUCCUCACCAAGAGACUUUUCUGAGAUUGGUGGUGACAGGGUUUCACGGGUGCUAGGCAAGCCUUCUACCAUUGUGCCACAUGCCCAGCCCCAAACUUUUUCUUAUUAUAUAACAAAAUGUGUCAACAUUUGGAAGAUUGCAAGAACCAAUAUUUUCUGAAUGACCAAAAUCAGAGAUAGGUGAAGGAUCCAUUCAAAGUGCCAGACAGACGAAUGGACUUCAGUGGAACAAAGUGCAACGUCCCUGGAUAUGGCCUCAGACUCCACACCUGGCCCUCAAGAACCACCACAUGUUGAGCGGUACAGCUGUCUGAAAGCUGUGUCUCACUACUCCCUCCUUCCAGCUGCAAGUCUGUGUAGCUCGGCCCUCUUCCUGUCCACCAAAACAAAACACCGCUGCAGGGUAAACUCAGCAGCAGCUUUGAGAACCAGCAGCUCUGGAGCCAGACUCCAAGAGAUCUGCAGACAAGCAAACUCCACCACCCUUCUCAUCAAAUUUGUUUGAGAAAUAUAGUUAUUUUUAAUUGUGAAAUGCUACUAAUGCUAUGGAAUAGGUUUAUUACUGUCAUCUUAAAUAAGACUUAUCUUUAAA
This is a long non-coding RNA of Marmota monax (woodchuck), 1385 nucleotides long. RefSeq lists it as uncharacterized. NCBI's taxonomy places the organism in Eukaryota, Metazoa, Chordata, Mammalia, Rodentia, Sciuridae. The record is from RefSeq and is a predicted model, not a curated record. The transcript is spliced from 2 exons.